Molecule: long non-coding RNA, 184 nt
Organism: Sander lucioperca (pikeperch)
Lineage: Eukaryota; Metazoa; Chordata; Actinopteri; Perciformes; Percidae
Exons: 3
Source: RefSeq, a predicted model, not a curated record
AAUCUGCUCACCCUAGUAUAUAAUAACAUCCAAAACACACGAUUCACUCUCAGUGGUUUCUGUGAGAUGAGAAAUACUUUGAAUGAGUACGCAGUGCCGCUCACAGUUGAGACGACAGACUUUAAUGUGGCCCAGGACACAUUCCUGUUAGGGCUGAACCAUGAAUCGUUUUUAAACCGAAAAA